UCUGCAACAGUGUUCUGGCCAAGGGUUAUUUAGCUCUGGCUUCUGAGGCUCCCUCCAAUACAUGAACCUUGCCGCUUUCUAUAGGUCCAAGAGCACCAGAUCCUCUGGGUCCCUGCGAGAUGGGAUGCCAUUCCAGCAAGAUCUCUGAGGUGGUCGUGGAGUCCCAGAAACCCAGAGGUCACCCUGAGGGAGGAGAGCCAAAGGUGGAGCCUGGCACUGAGGCAUCGGAUGCUACGGACACCUCAAUGAAGCAAGGCGCCCCUGCGUUGAAGUGCUGACCCUCUUUCUCGAGCGGACCCUCACCUCUUCCCUGGAAUUGCCUUUGACCUGUGAGGUCCCACUCAUCCAGCAAAGAGGACAAAAGAUUGCUUCAUUCUUCUUGGGCCUUUCCCACAGUUUCUGCAAAGAGAAAAACAUGUGGAUUGACUCUUCUGGUCCAGACGAUAUGCUUCUGGCUGUGACUGUCAGUCACAGGUCUGCCUCCCUUUCCCAGAACUCUGGAGGCUCCAUAGCCACAACAUCGAUGGGGACUCCGGAUCUUGGUUUGGUCUCAAUCUCUUUUCCUUUUUUUCAACAGCCGACUGAACAGCCAGCAUCCCUGACAGGAAGCUUUUGCAUCUGGCUCUCUUCAUGUUGUUUACAUGAAUAAUUUAAUAUUUAACUUGCAGUAUCAUUAAUGAAUUAUGGGAAUGAUCGGGAUUGGACAGGAAUUCCAUGAAUGGACAGCGACAGGGCCUUGGGCUCACAGCAAGUAGAGUGCUGAGCGCCGGUGGGAGGGGAGGAGAGAUUCAAGUUUCCAGUUAUUAAGUCCCCGGAAAUGCUCUCCUGCUAGCCUGGCUUCUGCUAUCAAAAGUCUGUCAUUUCGAACCCUCUAGCAUCUAAACUGUCUGCAUCUAGCCUUCAAAAAUAUUUUGCUGUUUACUAACAAUGAGUCUGCCAGCUUUUCUUUUUUCCCCCUGAAUGCGUUUUGUUUUUCAUGCAAACCCCAAAGCGUUUUCAUUUGAAAUCAAACAGACAUGUUUGCAAAUAAAUGACGACACAACACA
This is a long non-coding RNA of Peromyscus leucopus (white-footed mouse), 1046 nucleotides long. RefSeq lists it as uncharacterized. Lineage: Eukaryota; Metazoa; Chordata; Mammalia; Rodentia; Cricetidae. The transcript has 2 exons. The record is from RefSeq and is a predicted model, not a curated record.